Long non-coding RNA from Episyrphus balteatus (marmalade hoverfly), 471 nucleotides. RefSeq lists it as uncharacterized. The transcript has 2 exons. The record is from RefSeq and is a predicted model, not a curated record. Lineage: Eukaryota; Metazoa; Arthropoda; Insecta; Diptera; Syrphidae.
AUUCAUCUGAAAACAUAAAUAAAUUUACUAUAAAUACUUGAAGGUUUUAGACUAUCAAGGAAGCUUGAUUAAAAUCAUAACUCAAAGACAACAAAUCUGCUCGAUUUUACGAAUCUAAUAAAAAAUAACAUGCCAAAUGAAAACCUCACACAGAAUGUAAGCUUCAAAAUUAUAUGUAUAUCGAAAGAAAUCAAUGUGCUAUUUGGAGUUCCCAAAGAAGUUAUAUUGGACCGCUUCUAUUUUUAUUACUUAUAUGACGUUUGAACGGAAGUAUUGCGAUCAAAAAUCAUAUUAUCUUCGCUUCUGAUGACUUCAUGAUGACCAAAUGGAUAUUUCUUAUUACCAAAUAAUAUUGACCCUGUCUGCUGUCUCGGAAUUGUGUAUUUUGAACCCAAUGGAACUCAACAAAAUGAAAAAAAAAAAAAAAAAAAAAUAGUAUUACCUCCUGAUAUACUCACAAAUAAAAUUAUU